This 460-nucleotide ribosomal RNA is filed under the name uncultured bacterium. RNAcentral describes it as "partial 16S ribosomal RNA". It matches the Rfam family "Bacterial small subunit ribosomal RNA", at positions 28 to 507 of the family's 1533-position model. The record is from RNAcentral.
GACGAACGCUGGCGGCGUGCUUAACACAUGCAAGUCGAGCGGUAAGGCCUCUUCUGGGGUACACGAGCGGCGAACGGGGGAGUAACACGUGGGUGACCUGCCCUCAGCUCUGGGAUAAGCGUGGGGAACUGGGUCUAAUACCGGAUAUGAACUUUCCUCGCAUGGGGGUUGGUGGUAAGGUUUUUCGGCUGGGGAUGGGCCUGCGGCCUAUCAGCUUGUUGGUGGGGUGGUGGCCUACCAAGGCGACGACCGGUAACCGGCCUGAGAGGGCGCCCGCCCGCCCUGGGAGGGAGGCACCGCCCAGGAUCCUUCGGGAGGCGGCGGUGGGGAAAUUUGGGCAAGGGGCGGAAGCCUGGCGCGGCGACGCCGCGGGGAGGAUUACGGCCUUCGGGUUGGAAAAGUCUUUCUACCCCGACGAAUUUUGACGGUAGCGGUAGAAUAAGCACCGGCCAACUACGUG